AUCUUGAAAACGGAAAAUAAAAACAGCAGACCUAUGAAGGUCGAAGGGGAAGAAAAGCUGUAUCGAUUGUUGAGAUCUGGCGACUUGUUUAAAUUUCAUCAGCCUCACUUCUAUGAACUCUCAGAGCUGAUUACCAACUCCUACCACUGUUAACCCUCAUCCAGGAAAAAGCUUAUGUCUUUAACAUUCUGAGUGGGCUUCAGCAUCCUUGCAUAUGUUCAAUUCUUAAAAACCUGUUGAAAUAAAAGAUCAGGAGACAUAGGAAGGAUGCCAGAAGAGAGCGUGGCCUCAUGUGUACCAGCUCUCUGCUCUCCUUUGCCUUGGGACGUUCCAUCCCUGGAAGUUUCCCUGCCCACAUCUUUGUAGAGAGUCCAUUCUCCAAGCUUCAGUGUGUCAUCUGUGAGGACUGUGACCAACCUGGUACAUCGCCUCAGGGCAUUCAUUUCAGGCUCCUUCUAAAUGGUCAAGGUUUGUAUGGAUUUUAAUCCCUGUUGCUGGUGCACUUCAGUUGGGCUUGGAAACUUUUUUCCCAUUUUCGUAGUAAUG
RNAcentral lists this long non-coding RNA (546 nucleotides) under Pan troglodytes (chimpanzee). RNAcentral describes it as "lincRNA". The record is from RNAcentral. Lineage: Eukaryota; Metazoa; Chordata; Mammalia; Primates; Hominidae.